UGCUGACGAGUGGCGGACGGGUGAGUAAUGCUUGGGAAUCUGUCUUAUGGAGGGGGAUAACGACGGGAAACUGUCGCUAAUACCGCGUAGGGUCGGGAGACGAAAGUGCGGGACUUUAUGGCCGCAUGCCAUGAGAUGAACCCAAGUGUGAUUAGGUAGUUGGUGGGGUAAGGGCCUACCAAGCCGACGAUCGCUAGCUGGUCUGAGAGGAUGGCCAGCCACACCCGGGACUGAGACACGGCCCGGACUCCUACGGGAGGCAGCAGUGGGGAAUAUUGCGCAAUGGGGGCAACCCUGAACGCAGCCAUGCCGCGUGAAUGAAGAAGGCCUUCGGGUUGUAAAGUUCUUUCGGUAUUGAGGAAGGUUGGUGUGUUAAUAGCAUGCCAAAUUGACGUUAAAUACAGAAGAAGCACCGGCUAACUCCGUGCCAGCAGCCGCGGUAAUACGGGGGGUGCGAGCGUUAAUCGGAAUAACUGGGCGUAAAGGGCACGUAGGCGGACCUUUAAGUGAGGUGUGAAAUCCCCGGGCUUAACCUGGGAAUUGCAUUUCAUACUGGGGGUCUGGAGUACUUUAGGGAGGGGUAGAAUUCCACGUGUAGCGGUGAAAUGCGUAGAGAUGUGGAGGAAUACCGAAGGCGAAGGCAGCCCCUUGGGGAUGUACUGACGCUGAUGUGCGAAAGCGUGGGGAGCAAACAGGAUUAGAUACCCUGGUAGUCCACGCUGUAAACGGUGUCGAUUUGGGGAUUGGGGUUUAGCCCUGGUGCCCGAAGCUAACGUGAUAAAUCGACCGCCUGGGGAGUACGGCCGCAAGGUUAAAACUCAAAUGAAUUGACGGGGGCCCGCACAAGCGGUGGAGCAUGUGGUUUAAUUCGAUGCAACGCGAAGAACCUUACCUACUCUUGACAUCCGAAGAAGAACUCAGAGAUGGGUUUGUGCCUUAGGGAGCUUUGAGACAGGUGCUGCAUGGCUGUCGUCAGCUCGUGUUGUGAAAUGUUGGGUUAAGUCCCGCAACGAGCGCAACCCUUAUCCUUUGUUGCCAGCGACGUGGUCGGGAACUCAAAGGAGACUGCCGGUGAUAAACCGGAGGAAGGUGGGGAUGACGUCAAGUCAUCAUGGCCCUUACGAGUAGGGCUACACACGUGCUACAAUGGCGUAUACAGAGGGUAACCAACCAGCGAUGGGGAGUGAAUCUCAGAAAGUGCGUCUAAGUUCGGAUG
This 1216-nucleotide ribosomal RNA is filed under the name Aggregatibacter actinomycetemcomitans. Its description in RNAcentral is "bacterial SSU rRNA". It matches the Rfam family "Bacterial small subunit ribosomal RNA", at positions 86 to 1299 of the family's 1533-position model. Lineage: Bacteria; Pseudomonadati; Pseudomonadota; Gammaproteobacteria; Pasteurellales; Pasteurellaceae. The record is from RNAcentral.